This 253-nucleotide ribosomal RNA is filed under the name uncultured bacterium. RNAcentral's name for it is "partial 16S ribosomal RNA". It matches the Rfam family "Bacterial small subunit ribosomal RNA", at positions 524 to 776 of the family's 1533-position model. The record is from RNAcentral.
UACGGGGGGGGCAAGCGUUGUUCGGAAUUACUGGGCGUAAAGGGCUCGUAGGUGGCCAACUAAGUCAGACGUGAAAUCCCUCGGCUUAACCGGGGAACUGCGUCUGAUACUGGAUGGCUUGAGUUUGGGAGAGGGACGCGGAAUUCCAGGUGUAGCGGUGAAAUGCGUAGAUAUCUGGAGGAACACCGAUGGCGAAGGCAGCACUCUGGCCGAAGACUGACGCUGAAGCGCGAAAGCUGGGGGAGCGAACGGG